AUUGAACGCUGGCGGCAGGCCUAACACAUGCAAGUCGAACGGUAACAGGAAGAAGCUUGCUUCUUUGCUGACGAGUGGCGGACGGGUGAGUAAUGUCUGGGAAACUGCCUGAUGGAGGGGGAUAACUACUGGAAACGGUAGCUAAUACCGCAUAACGUCGCAAGACCAAAGAGGGGGACCUUCGGGCCUCUUGCCAUCGGAUGUGCCCAGAUGGGAUUAGCUAGUAGGUGGGGUAACGGCUCACCUAGGCGACGAUCCCUAGCUGGUCUGAGAGGAUGACCAGCCACACUGGAACUGAGACACGGUCCAGACGCCUACGGGAGGCAGCAGUGGGGAAUAUUGCACAAUGGGCGCAAGCCUGAUGCAGCCAUGCCGCGUGUAUGAAGAAGGCCUUCGGGUUGUAAAGUACUUUCAGCGGGGAGGAAGGGAGUAAAGUUAAUACCUUUGCUCAUGGACGUUACCCGCAGAAGAAGCACCGGCUAACUCCGG
Molecule: ribosomal RNA, 489 nt
Filed under: uncultured bacterium
Lineage: Bacteria
Description: partial 16S ribosomal RNA
Rfam family: Bacterial small subunit ribosomal RNA
Source: RNAcentral